GAUGGGCUGACCUUCGCAGGUCGGCUUUGAAAGCCUCGUCUAUGUCUUAUUACAAACGCUUCAGUUCAGAAUGUAAUCAAGUUGCUUUAAUGCAAAUUAAAUACAACUUUCAGCAACGGAUCUCUUGGCUCUCGCAUCGAUGAAGAACGCAGCGAAAUGCGAUAAGUAAUGUGAAUUGCAGAAUUCAGUGAAUCAUCGAAUCUUUGAACGCACCUUGCGCUCCUUGGUAUUCCGAGGAGCAUGCCUGUUUGAGUGUCAUGAAAUUCUCAACCUUCAAAACUUCCUUGUUGCGAAGGCUUGGACUUGGAGGUCGUGUCGGCGUCGCUGUCGACUCCUCUGAAAUGCAUUAGCGUGAAUCUUACGGAUCGCCUUCGGUGUGAUAAUUUCUGCGCCGCGGCCGUGAAGUAUAAUAGUGUUCGUGCUUACAACUGUCUGCAAAGACAAUUCUUCUUGACAAUCUGACCUCAAAUCAGGUAGGACUACCCGCUGAACUUAAGCAUAUCAAUAAGCGGAGGA
RNAcentral lists this ribosomal RNA (516 nucleotides) under uncultured fungus. Its description in RNAcentral is "eukaryotic LSU rRNA". The stretch from base 105 to 258 matches the Rfam family "5.8S ribosomal RNA". Lineage: Eukaryota; Fungi. The record is from RNAcentral.